CGGACGGGUGAGUAACGCGUGGGUAACCUGCCCCAUAGAGGGGGACAACAGCUGGAAACGGCUGCUAAUACCGCAUAGCAGGAAAGAGACGCAUGUCUUUUUCUUCAAAGAUUUAUCGCUAUGGGAUGGACCCGCGUCUGAUUAGCCAGUUGGCGGGGUAACGGCCCACCAAAGCGACGAUCAGUAGCCGGCCUGAGAGGGUGAACGGCCACAUUGGGACUGAGACACGGCCCAA
RNAcentral lists this ribosomal RNA (235 nucleotides) under uncultured Bacillota bacterium. RNAcentral describes it as "uncultured Firmicutes bacterium partial 16S ribosomal RNA". It matches the Rfam family "Bacterial small subunit ribosomal RNA", at positions 99 to 334 of the family's 1533-position model. The record is from RNAcentral. Lineage: Bacteria; Bacillati; Bacillota.